RNAcentral lists this signal recognition particle RNA (264 nucleotides) under Planctomycetota bacterium. RNAcentral describes it as "signal recognition particle sRNA large type". It matches the Rfam family "Bacterial large signal recognition particle RNA". From Rfam's summary of the family: The signal recognition particle (SRP) is a universally conserved ribonucleoprotein involved in the co-translational targeting of proteins to membranes. Archaeal SRP consists of a 7S RNA and homologues of the eukaryotic SRP19 and SRP54 proteins. The record is from RNAcentral. Lineage: Bacteria; Pseudomonadati; Planctomycetota.
CCGUGCUAGGCGGGGUGUUAGCGGUACCCUGUACUCGCAAUCCGCUAUAGCGAGGCUGAAUUCUUUUCCGAGGGUUGAUUGAGUUGAGUCACUAUUGCCAUAAGCGAUGUUGACAGUCGGGUCCCAUGCAAACGAACGGCGUGAACCUGGUCAGACCGGGAACGGAGCAGCCAUAAGCGUUAGUUUGUUGUGCUGUGGAACAACCCGGCUUGAGUUGGCUGUGGCAGCAAACUCAGCAAGAUCGAUUCGAAGAAAAGUGCACGG